Molecule: non-coding RNA, 653 nt
Organism: Oncorhynchus mykiss (rainbow trout)
Lineage: Eukaryota; Metazoa; Chordata; Actinopteri; Salmoniformes; Salmonidae
Source: the annotation of a RefSeq genome assembly
AAUGGGAAAGUGUUUGUGUUGUUUCCAGGUGAACCAUCCUUGGAGCUCCUUCUAGUCCCCAGUGAGGAGCCGUCAGGCUCAGGGACCCAGAAACUCAUGUGUUCUGGGUGGAGCUUCAACCCUCAGAUCAAGUGGCUCUCUGGGUCUGAACAGAGUUCUGCAGCAGCCUAUGAGAGAAGGAUGGGGGAAGAUGGACAUGUGGCACUAACCAGUUAUAUCACAGUAACACAGCAGGAUUGGAACCAGGGUAUGGUCUUCACCUGUGAGGUCAUCGACACGGAUCUUCAGAAAACUACAAGGAAGAGCACCAGUUUAUGUACAGCUUUUCCCUCGUCUACUCCAUACCUCCACCUGGAGACCCCCAGAUUCAGGACAGUGAUGACACAGACUGAGGUAACAGCUACAUAUGUGGUCCACUCUACGUAUGACGCCAAAGUGUCCUGGCUUCUGGAUGGAAAAGACCCAACCAGCCGAACCCCAGUGAACCAGGCCAGCAGCACAACUCAGAGCAUCAGCAGUAACCUGACUCUUCCCUCAAGCCAAUGGAAAACCCUGAACACAAUAACAUGCAGAGCUGAACAUCGAUGCUUCAACCCCACACAGAAGACCAGCAAUGUUGAAGGUUAGAAUGGAACUUUGUGAAAAUAUAUACA